Molecule: long non-coding RNA, 3984 nt
Organism: Oryctolagus cuniculus (rabbit)
Lineage: Eukaryota; Metazoa; Chordata; Mammalia; Lagomorpha; Leporidae
Source: Ensembl
GCUGUGACCUGGAAGUGCACCCACAGGCGCAUCUGUUUCUUCUGCACGGUGCCCCAGCCCAGAGCUUGUGUAAGCCCUGAGUUACUGAUUUCAAUGCUGGUGGCCAAGCCUGAGGAGACCCAGUGCCCCCCAGGGUCAGGCCGGGAUCAGGUGAGGCUGCGGUGAGGCAGCCGCUCAAUUAUCUUGUGCUUCUGGAACUUUCUAGGCGCAGUCCUCUUCUUUGGCCCCUCUGAAAGACUGCACCUCAGGACCGGGUCCCUGUGUCAGGAACAGAAAGGUUCUUUCUGUGGAGAGUUUGGCACGGUGGCCUUCCUGUCACUGGGCUGCACACAUGGAGGAGAAAGCAAAAGCUUAGAGAACCCCCAAGAAUCCCUCUGUGCUCUGUUCCAGCCUGCCCCCAGAUUCUGACACCUCAUAGUCUUGUGUCCUGAUUCACACCAGUGGGGAGUCUUGAGCUGUUGGGGGAGUCUGAGGAGGAUACCUGGCCACCCUGGGACUGGAACUGACUUUUAAGAGGGACCCUGAGACACCUAUGGUGGACUUUUGAGUGCCGCCUCACGUUGGAGCUGAGUGCUUCCUGCUGGGACCGCGUGAUCUUCCUGGGAUACCAGGGUGGCACAGCAACCCAUGGUGCUCUGGAUGCUCUUGCUGAAUCUGUGUGUAGCUUAGAAGCGUCAUGGAGCUCUUCAUUGGAACAUGUGCUAAGCCCUGGCUCUAAGAACAAGGAGGUGAGCAGCCAAGAGCAAUACUUGCAGGAAGGGCCAGGCUGCCGGUGUCAGAGGAGUGGUAGUGGAUUCAACAGGACCCUCAGGUUUGUCCAUCCUCGCCUGGUGAGUCUUCUUGAAAUGCUUGUGCAUAUCAUUCAUAUACUUCUAUAUUAUAAAUUUAAUAUCAUAUGUUCUAAAUAGAUUUUAAAUUUUAUAUUUAAAACAUAUAUGUGCUUGGAGGUAUCAUGUACAGUUCCAGGAGGUGUGAGCCUACCUGGCUGAAUUCUGAUGCCAGGAUAGGUGAACCCGCAGGUGAGUCAUCUUCUUUUGGGUAGGCAAUUUAGAUGCCCGGUGACUGUGUGAAUUUCCAGGUCUCUUGUUUUAUUUUCUGGAUUUAUAGUUCUACUUAGUGUAUAGGAGCUGAGAAAAUGGAUCUGGUCACCAAAACGGUAGUUCCUGCUUGCAAGAUUUGCUUCCUGUUUUUCCUAAUUUGCUUAGAUGGUUUAUCUCAGUUUUCAUUAAGGGUUCUCCAACACAGCAGUGAUAGCAUUGAGUGAUAACCCCAAAAAGAUGGUUGUAUAUUGUUGUCACUGCCCCACUGAAUUCUAAUUCUGCCUCUGUGAUAUCCAUUGUUCCCUAAUUUUAUGAAAAAGUUCCUGAGGAAUACAUUGUUCUGUUGUGUUAAUGAAUAUGGUUAUAUGGGGAGACAUAUCAUGUAAAAUUUACAUAUCCCAAUCAUAUUAUUGCAUUAACUAGGCAUAUGGGGACUCUGUUUAUCAUCAGAGGCACCUAGAUCCGAGGAUGGCACCGAAAUUUCUAGUAGUAAGCAUUACUUCCUAAGUAUAUUCGUUUCAGUUAUAAAACUGUAAGGUUCUGAAUAACUCAGUAGAGGUUCUUUUUACUUCUAAAUUAGAUUUUGAAAUAUUGAAAUCAUUUGGAUUAUGAUAUUUCUAGACCAUUUUUAGGUCUGAGAAGGCAGGGGCAUUGUUUCUGCACAGUAUCCACAAUGGUUGCCAUAUAAUUGGUUCUAAAACUUCAGUUGAUGAAAUGAAAUCCCUAUUUGUCCCUGUGUUUCAAACAACACAAAAUUUCAAAAUCUGUAGGUAUUGUGUUCUGUGGUUUGGUUCUUACAGUAUGUGGUGAAUUAAGUCUUCCUUCCUUCUGGUUAGCAGUUACUAGUGUUGACACCCAAGGAUCAUUCCUUGAUCCUCAUUGUAUGAGAUGCUGACCAGUGACUACUCUGAAACAGCCCCUUGGUGCAAGUCCUCAUGGAUGUUCCAGUUUCCUCAGUAUCCACUCUUGGUGUUCCUGUUAGUGCUGAUUGUUCAAAUCUAGAAGUUGAAAUGACCUCAUGUUAAGUCCAGGUGUUUGUUCUCACUGGUCUUCCCAUCCUAGACAGCCUUAUCUCUGUACUGUGUUUCAGGAAGGUCUUGGCUUUUACUCCCAUCAUUAGCUAGACCUGUUAAUAUUGCCCACAGUUUUCUCGUUUUGGCUAUUUUAGAGCUUGGUUCCUUGAUUCCAUAAUUCUUUUCUCUUACACACAACACAACAAGAAAAAUCUGUUCUUUUGUUUUCUCAUGUUCCCCAUCCACAGAUGUUCUCUGAAAACAGUCACCAGGCAUCUCAAAGGCUGGCUGGUCCCUACACCCUUCUCAAAGCCACAUGAAUAUGUGAUUCUUUUGCUUUUCACUUUUAUGUCUCAAUUCUGUCACGUUUUCCACACCUCUGCUCCUGUGACCAUCAUAAAACUUUAGCAUUUCCCACAAAAAUCCUCGGCUAGCAAUUUCUAAUGUACUACUAAUAAGAAGUUAAAAUAUAGAAACUUUCUGGGGAGAUUCCAAAAUUCGAGUGGUUUAUGCCAAACAUCUUAAGAUGCUUUUCCUCUGUUUAACGAAAGUCAUAUCUAUGGGGGAAAACCAGAUGGAGAGUUUGCUGCAAACAAUGCCUUUGUUUCACCUUUAUACAAUUUUGUUUGUGAGUUAUGUAGGCCUCAAUAAUUAUGAAUGGAAAAACUGAAACUGUGACUUGCAGUUCAAUAUUGCAAAUAUUAUAAAGCUUUCUACUGAAGUGCUGUAGUGAGAGAACAGGCAUGGAGUCCAGGAAAUCCUUCAAUGAAUUGGUAUAUGUGUAGUUUUCAGAGUGCUGCUUUCAAAGACAUUGAAACUUUGUAAAUAUUUUCUUACAUAUGACGUUAAAUUUAAAAUUGCUGCUUCAACAGACACUGAGCUCUAUGUGAUUGGUAACCCCUCCUACACUAAUGAAUCACCUUGCUUGAUUUCCCCACCUGAUUACUUUGGAAGAUGACAUGUGAGUGUCAAAUGGGGAAAGAAAGGUUUUUUUUAAGAUUUAUUUAACUAUUUGAAAGACAGAGAUAUAGAGAGGCAGGGGCAGAGAGAGAGUCUGCUGGGUCACUCCCCGUAGGGCCACAAUUGCCAGAGCUGAGCUGGUAUGUAGCCAGGAGCCUGGAGCUUCUUCUGGGUCUCUCACGUGGGUGCAGGGGCCCAAGCACUUGGGCCAUCUUCCACUUUCCUAGGCCAUAUCAGAGAGCUGGAUCGGAAGUGGAGCAGUGGGGACUCAAACCAGUGCUCUUAUGAGAUGCCGGCACUACAGGCAGAAGCUUUUCCUGCUAUGCCGCAGUGCCAUCCCCAAGAAAUAUUCUUGUGGUAGACUAAUGUUCAUGGUGUAUAGCCCUCUGCUCUGUGCAGGUAGAAUUUGAGUAAUUCUUGGCAGACCCCUAAAUUUUGGAGGUACAUAGGGAUACCAUGAUCAGUGUAAUGGGAUCCACAGUUUUCCAGAGAAAUACUUCAUGAUAUCUGCUGGGGUCCUGCCAUUUAUGAAAAUGGGUUCUAAAGCAACCUGAUCGGUGAAGACAUUGCCACCUAUUGAUCCAGUGAAGCAAGUCCAGUGUGAGCACCCCUGACCCUGGCAGAGGCUGCAGCCCCUGGUGACUAAGAUGCUGUAGGCCUGUGCUGCUACUCAUUCCACGGGGAAGGCCCUGCCAUACUGCUGUGAGCAUCCUGGGUUAAUAUUUUGGUAUUGCCAUGUUUUGGUUUGUUCUUCAACUUAAAUACAUGGUAUCUCCAUUUGGUUUGUAUAUUUCAUCUUGCAGUUUUCACAGCUAAAUUUCUUUUUUUAAUAAUUUUUAUUUAUAUAAAGGUGAACAUAGAGCAUGUACUUGGCACCUUUCCCUCCUCUCCCCAGCAUGCUGCCCUCCUUCCUCCUUCCUUUCUUGUGAUUACAAAAUAAACAAAAAAAUGUCAUUGUGAAAAUUAUAGGA